This 100-nucleotide transfer RNA is filed under the name Thiemannella venezuelensis. RNAcentral's name for it is "Planomonospora venezuelensis tRNA-Glu". The record is from RNAcentral. Lineage: Bacteria; Bacillati; Actinomycetota; Actinomycetes; Streptosporangiales; Streptosporangiaceae.
AAACCAGAGGACCUGAUAAAUGAAUAUGCGCUUCCCCGGUGCGAAGGAGACGGUUACUUCUCCUCUCAAGAGCGGGACGCGGGUUCGAAUCCCGCCGUCG